UUUAAUGGACCACAACACAAGAAGAUGAGUUUUAAGUAGAAAGAAUUGUUAGGUUAGUUGGCACUGAGAAAAAAUGAGUGUGUAACAGCAAAGAGAACACAGUUGGGCAAAAUGUGUCAGUUAAAAAUUAGAAAAAGAUGUACUAUCAAGCUUGGCCUUCAAGAGAAGAACAAUAACCUCUCCCAUCUAAUGUAAAAUGUGAAAUCAUUUAUUAACUGAAAUUAAAAAAGAAGAAGCAUAAUGUAUAGGAAUGAGUGUAUGUAGGAGUAAUAUUUUAAAAGGAAAAGGAAAUUACAAGGAGUAAAGUAUGGGGAAAAAGAGAAGGAUUAGGUUCUGUAAUAAUUUAAGCAACCAUUUCUGUAAGAGCAGUUGGCAGUAGUUAGUAUGUCUUUUAAAAUCAUACAUGUCACCAUUUUGCUUGGGCUGGUAAAACACCUUUCACUCUCUCUCUCUCUCUCUUCCGUUUAUUUAUAUUUAUUAUUACUAUCUUCUUGUUAUCAUUUUCUCUUUCUCUCUCUCUCUCCCUCCCUCCCUCUCUCUCUAUUUUACCUAUUUCUUGUUAUCAUUUUCUCUUUCUCUAUAAUUGUUGUAUUUGAUCUACUGCUUCUGUAGAAUUUAAGUGCUGUAAAAGGAGGUACUAUCACAAAUCUAAUUCAGGUUACUGUAUGCUAUAUAAUUGGGGUUAGAAUUUAUUGCUUUUUAGCUUACAUAUUUCAGAAUAUUUGAAAAGUCUUGUUGAGUCUAUUCUUUUUCUUGAUACUUGUGGGGCUUUGUCUUUGAUUCUAAGCUUCAGCUAAGGCAAAUGGUAUAUUUCCCUAACAAGAACCUUUCUUUCUUUGACACCCCAUUCUCUUCCCCCAUAUUGAAUUUUGCUGGAACUUAAAAGCACAGUUAAAGAUUAAUGUGAAGCUUGUAACUUUCUCUCUGCUGUUUUUAAUACUCCAUAAACAAAAGGAAUCUGCUUUCUUUUCAUUAGCUGUUAUUUCACCAAUGCUUUUCACUAUGUUCAUUGUCUACUUUAUGCUCUGAAAGUUUCAUACUUUCUUGUCUCUGGUAAUUACUUUUUUCCUUUCAUUAGACUAGGCUUGAUCCUAGGGUUCUUGAAACUAAAGAUUUUAUCCUUCAUUACACUAGGCUUGAUCCUAGGGUUCUUGAAACAAGAGGGGGGUUAAAGAUUUUAUGCCUGUUACUUUGGAUUUUUGUUUUCUUUUUAACCUUUGUGUGCGUCUGUAGGAUUUGAGAGAUUUUUUGCUUUAACCUCUUUCCUUCUCAUCAGUCCUAUAAAGCUGCCAAGGUUAUUUUGUUCCUUGUUGAGUCCUGCAAGAUAUUACUACCAGUUCUUUUUGGUCAAAUCCCACUUUACCCUUUUUUAUUUUUAUUCAUUGCACCUUGUUGAGUCCUGCAAGAUAUUACUACCAGUUCUUUUUGGUCAAACCCCACUUUACCUUUUUUUAUUUUUAUUCAAUUUUUAACACACUGUUCUUUCCUUUCUGUCAAGUAGCAAUCAAACUCUUGGCUUGGUUAAAAACAUUACAUUUGUGUUGCCUUUUUGAACUGAGUUCCCAAUAAAAUUUGUGGAUCCUUUAAUUCUUGAAAAUGG
This 1600-nucleotide long non-coding RNA is filed under the name Nicotiana benthamiana. RNAcentral describes it as "long non-coding RNA (NBEN_LNC016519)". Lineage: Eukaryota; Viridiplantae; Streptophyta; Magnoliopsida; Solanales; Solanaceae. The record is from RNAcentral.